GCAAUACGCAAAAAGAUAGGACUUUCUAAGAAAGUCAGAAGCUGGUCUCCUGCAGGCACAGGAAGCCAUCAAAGUCAAAGUGGCCCAAGAACUUGCCAGUCAAGAUGAAAAACUUCUUCUAAUGGAAUCCAGCUUGAAAGCUACUCAAGAGCAGCUAACUGAGCAAAUAGCAGAAACAGUUCGCCAAGAACAGAACAGUAGAAAACCCCAGGCAGAGCUGAAGACAGUGACAGAAGGGAUUAUUGCUUCUGAAGAAGAAAAAAAUGAUUACAAAUCUUCCAUUUUACCAUCUGUUACAACUUCAUUGCAAAAGGUGUGAAAGAAGAGGGAAAUGAAAUUGGUAAAUAUUUUGAAGCCAGACUGAAAUAUUUGGCCAAGUUUCUAGAACAGUGGAACUAUUUUAAUCAAAGGAAAUCUUACUUAUGUGGCCAAAAAAGAAAAUAACACGAAUUGUACUCUUUGAAGUAGAGUUAGUUGAUAAGCUUGGAAGGUGGAUCUCCCUCCCUCUCUCUGCAAUUCCCUGCUUUGGAAAGCACUGCCCUCUCCAGAAACCAUUGGAUCUGAAGAGUAUGUAUUGGAAAACCUCCCCUGAAUACCACAUGACGAACAACCAGAAGGUUUACACUACGGAAGACUGGAAAAUCAGAUCUGUGCGGGGAGACAAUGAAGACUAUGAAAACAAUUAGAAAAUAAGAAAAUGUCUGCAAAAAAAAAAAAGUCAUAAGGAAAGAAAUUGAAAAAGAUUUGAAAGCACGGUAUUUCGUUUCUGUUAGUUUGUUAGCCAAGCAAAAUUACACACAUGACACAGGCUUCUUUCAACUUGAUGUGCCGAAUGGCCGUGGUUAUGUCAUUAAACAAUGCAAUAAAAGGGAAAGAAACAUCAUGUUUUGCAGAUGAAGAAGAAAAAUAUUUGUUGGCUGGAGACGCUUGCAGAGUGUCUCCGGCAGAGAUGCGCCAUUGACGUUUGAAAACAUGAGCACUCUGACUUGCUUUCUAUAAUGAAAAAUUUACUUACAUAACUUUAUGCUUUUUGAUCACUGUUCCAAUAAGGAAUUGUGUCCUUGGAGGCAUCUAAUAAUCAAAGAAUUACCUCAUUCACACGAUAGAACAAUCACUGGAAAAUAUAAUGGCUAAUUGGGAUUCUUGAAAUUAAACGUGGUGGUGGUAUUACUUGUGAAAGGAGACUAAAUGGUUCAUGAUUUUAAUUUUAAUCCUAAAGAAUGACUUUCUAAUAGUCAUAAAUGCCUUUCUUUCAAAGAGGUGAUAGAUUUCCUGAAAAUGUUCAGUCUUAAUAAGGAUGCCUAUUUGGCAUGCAUGCUUGUCAAGGCAUUCAAGUAUCUGUGAAGUGGUUGACCCCCAAUUUGUAAGUUAUUUUGCAGUUUUCCAUAUCUGUCAGUCUAUGACCCCCCUUGACUUUUAAGCUGAAAUGUCGAUAUAUCAGAAAAACGGUAACUAUCCGGUUGCUAACUUUCUGUGGUCUCAACUUGAACUUUUCCCCACUGUCUCAGCUUACCCAUGCACCACCCACCACAGGACAAGUAUGCAAGUAAAUAGCCUACAAAGGAGAUGUAAUUUUCUAGUGCUGCAUUUCAUUUGUCUUCAGGUGACAUUGCAGUUCACCUCAUGGUCUAAGCUACCAACACGAGACUUAUCUCUAUUUCCCUCCAACCAUCUGACCUACCACAUUUCCUGAAGAUCUCCAGUGUCCACCCUUACCUAUCGCUUGUGAUUGACUUCCUUUUUCAGAUAAAAUUUAAGAUCCUCAGCAUGGAAAACAAAGUUGUUUGUAACCUGAUCCUGGUUAAUUGGUAGAGCAUCAUCUUUCACCACUUUUCCUAUGACAUGUUAUUUUCUAGCAAAAAGAACUUUCAGUUCCACAGACACACACACUGAGAACAAACAUAUCUGUGUCUUAAAGGCCUCGGUUCUUUUUCUAUAUAGAAAAUAUUUAUUCUACUUUCAACACUUGAUCAUAUCUUAACCAUUUUUCUCUAAUGACCUUUUUAUCCCAGUUCAAUACCUAAUAAAUCAUUACAUUGUCACAAAUACAUAGUAAGUAUCUGUUGACCUUCAAAUAAUGCUACCUCUGAAGCAUCAUUGUAGAAACAAAAUAUGAUGUACAUGUGUAAUUUUGAAUUUUCUAGGACUUAUGUUAAUAAAAGGCAAAAAAAGGAGGAGGUGAA
Molecule: long non-coding RNA, 2183 nt
Organism: Herpailurus yagouaroundi (jaguarundi)
Lineage: Eukaryota; Metazoa; Chordata; Mammalia; Carnivora; Felidae
Exons: 3
Source: RefSeq, a predicted model, not a curated record